Molecule: unclassified non-coding RNA, 50 nt
Filed under: Leishmania tarentolae
Lineage: Eukaryota; Euglenozoa; Kinetoplastea; Trypanosomatida; Trypanosomatidae
Description: guide RNA
Source: RNAcentral
UAAAACAUCAAACAAAAAGUUGAGUCACAGAUAAAUGAGAGACACGUUAG